UACGUAGGGUGCAAGCGUUAAUCGGAAUUACUGGGCGUAAAGAGCGCGUAGGCGGCCCUGUAAGUCCGCUGUGAAAGUCAAGGGCUCAACCCUUGGAUGCCGGUGGAUACUGCAGGGCUAGAGUCCGGAAGAGGCGAGUGGAAUUCCUGGUGUAGAGGUGAAAUUCGUAGAUAUCGGGAGGAACACCAGUGGCGAAGGCGGCGACCUGGACGGACAUUGACGCUGAGACGCGAAAGCGUGGGGAGCAAACAGG
This 253-nucleotide ribosomal RNA is filed under the name uncultured bacterium. RNAcentral's name for it is "partial 16S ribosomal RNA". It matches the Rfam family "Bacterial small subunit ribosomal RNA", at positions 524 to 776 of the family's 1533-position model. The record is from RNAcentral.